CUGAUCUUCAAUGUGUUCUGAUUCCUACUAGCCAGCUUUGUAAGAGUUAGGUUUGUACUAGUUAUGCUGAUGAUCAUUCGUUUUUUCUCUGCAUCAGGUCUCACUGAAACUGGAUUCCCCAAGAGACAUGCUAUUCAGCUGCCCAUAGUGGCUGAUCAUACACUCUUAGCAAAAAAAGGUGUAAAACCCUUGUGUCCUGGUUCAACAGACAUGUCCCUUGGUGACUACCUCAUGAAGCUGGUUGAGAGAAUGCCAAGAGUGUGCAAAGCUGUCAUCAAGGCAAAGGUUGGCUACUUUGAAGAAUCUCAAAUAUAAAAUAUAUUUUGAUUUGUUUAACUCUUUUUGUGGUCACUACAUGAUUCCAUGUGUUUUAUUUCAUAGCUUUGAUGUCUUCACUAUUAUUCUACAAUGUUGAAAAUAGUCAAAAUAAAGAAAAACCCUUGAAUGAGUAGGUCUGUCCAAACGUUUGACUGGUACUGUGUGCAUAUGAGCAAGUUGCUCCUUUUUGAAGACAUCUAAGCUAUAACUGCCACAAUCUUCUUCAACUAGUACCAUGGAAAAUCAUUGAAAAUACCUUUAGCCAGCUGAGUUCACAAAGUUUCUUCACGAAUGUCCUUUUCAAAAAAAAAAUGUAAUCUCAAAUGUAUAAAGUUGUAAUUUGCUGAUUCUCUUCACUGAGAUCUGAC
This is a long non-coding RNA of Oncorhynchus tshawytscha (Chinook salmon), 686 nucleotides long. Lineage: Eukaryota; Metazoa; Chordata; Actinopteri; Salmoniformes; Salmonidae. The record is from Ensembl.